Molecule: ribosomal RNA, 456 nt
Filed under: Triticum aestivum (bread wheat)
Lineage: Eukaryota; Viridiplantae; Streptophyta; Magnoliopsida; Poales; Poaceae
Description: partial small subunit ribosomal RNA
Source: RNAcentral
AUGUCUGGGAAUGUGUCGGACAGCUCAGGUAUUGGUGAAUCAGCUGAUGAGUUGUUGCAAACACCAUAUAUUAGGCAGGCUAAAGUCUGGGAAUACUAUGAGCCAAAUUUGGUAGAGGUGGACAAUGUCCCGAAGGCUGUGUGUAAGUAUUGUUCCAUGAAAUUAGCAUGCAAGUCUGGAACGAGCAGCCUUAGAAACCACAUUGGCGAGUCAUGCCCCAAAAUCGAUGAUGAGUCCAGAAAUAGGUUUCUUGCAACAAUUAAGAAAAACCCAUCAGAUGUGGGGUUUGUUUUCGAUCCUCAGAGAAGAUGUCAGCUAAUGAUCAAAUAUUGCAUCCACACCGAGGUUGCAUUCAGGAAGUUUGACGAUCCUUACUUUGAAGAGUGGAUGGACUCGAUGCAGCCCACCUUUAAAGUGGCGCCAGACUGUUCGCAACGACUGUGUGGACGCAUAUGA